ACAACUCUGAGCGGUGGAUCACUUGGUCUGUGGAUGCUAUGAAGACCAUAGCUAAGUGUGAGAAUGGCAGCGAGCCGUCGCUAUAUGCGCUGUCCUCUUCUUUCACAUGUCGAAUGCACAUUGCGCCCCACCCAGUGGUCAGCAAACCCACGAACCAACGCUGGUGACUUGGAAC
This 175-nucleotide ribosomal RNA is filed under the name Gammarus wilkitzkii. RNAcentral's name for it is "5.8S ribosomal RNA". The stretch from base 3 to 140 matches the Rfam family "5.8S ribosomal RNA". Rfam says of the family: 5.8S ribosomal RNA (5.8S rRNA) is a component of the large subunit of the eukaryotic ribosome. It is transcribed by RNA polymerase I as part of the 45S precursor that also contains 18S and 28S rRNA. Functionally, it is thought that 5.8S rRNA may be involved in ribosome translocation. The record is from RNAcentral. Lineage: Eukaryota; Metazoa; Arthropoda; Malacostraca; Amphipoda; Gammaridae.